UAGGGAAUCUUCGGCAAUGGGGGGAACCCUGACCGAGCAACGCCGCGUGAGUGAAGAAGGUUUUCGGAUCGUAAAGCUCUGUUGUUAAGGAAGAACGAGUGUGAGAAUGGAAAGUUCAUGCUGUGACGGUACUUAACCAGAAAGGGACGGCUAACUACGUGCCAGCAGCCGCGGUAAUACGUAGGUCCCGAGCGUUGUCCGGAUUUAUUGGGCGUAAAGCGAGCGCAGGCGGUUAGAAAAGUCUGAAGUGAAAGGCAGUGGCUCAACCAUUGUAGGCUUUGGAAGCUGUUUAACUUGAGUGCAGAAGGAGGGAGUGGAAUUCCGUGUGUAGCGGUGAAAUGCGUAGAUAUAUGGAGGAACACCGGUGGCGAAAGCGGCUCUCUGGUCUGUAACUGACGCUGAGGCUCGAAAGCGUGGGGAGCGAACAGG
This 429-nucleotide ribosomal RNA is filed under the name Bacteroidota bacterium. Its description in RNAcentral is "Bacteroidetes bacterium partial 16S ribosomal RNA". It matches the Rfam family "Bacterial small subunit ribosomal RNA", at positions 355 to 776 of the family's 1533-position model. The record is from RNAcentral. Lineage: Bacteria; Pseudomonadati; Bacteroidota.